CCUACGGGUGGCAGCAGUGGGGAAUAUUGGACAAUGGGCGAAAGCCUGAUCCAGCCAUGCCGCGUGUGUGAAGAAGGCCUUCGGGUUGUAAAGCACUUUCAGUGGGGAAGAAAGCCUUGGGGCUAAUACCCUCGAGGAAGGACAUCACCCACAGAAGAAGCACCGGCUAACUCCGUGCCAGCAGCCGCGGUAAUACGGAGGGUGCGAGCGUUAAUCGGAAUUACUGGGCGUAAAGCGCGCGUAGGCGGUCUGAUAAGCCGGUUGUGAAAGCCCCGGGCUCAACCUGGGAACGGCAUCCGGAACUGUCAGGCUAGAGUGCAGGAGAGGAAGGUAGAAUUCCCGGUGUAUCGGUGAAAUGCGUAGAGAUCGGGAGGAAUACCAGUGGCGAAGGCGGCCUUCUGGACUGACACUGACGCUGAGGUGCGAAAGCGUGGGUAGCAAACAGGAUUAGAUACCCGAGUAGUC
Molecule: ribosomal RNA, 465 nt
Filed under: Vreelandella stevensii
Lineage: Bacteria; Pseudomonadati; Pseudomonadota; Gammaproteobacteria; Oceanospirillales; Halomonadaceae
Description: partial 16S ribosomal RNA
Rfam family: Bacterial small subunit ribosomal RNA
Source: RNAcentral